RNAcentral lists this ribosomal RNA (460 nucleotides) under uncultured bacterium. RNAcentral's name for it is "partial 16S ribosomal RNA". It matches the Rfam family "Bacterial small subunit ribosomal RNA", at positions 338 to 795 of the family's 1533-position model. The record is from RNAcentral.
CCUACGGGUGGCAGCAGUGAGGAAUAUUGGUCAAUGGACGCAAGUCUGAACCAGCCAUGUAGCGUGCAGGAUGACGGCCCUAUGAGUUGUAAACUGCUUUUGUACGGGGGUAAACGCAGAUACGCGUAUCUGUUUGUAAGUACCGUAUGAAUAAGGAUCGGCUAACUCCGUGCCAGCAGCCGCGGUAAUACGGAGGAUUCAAGCGUUAUCCGGAUUUAUUGGGUUUAAAGGGUGCGUAGGCGGUCGGUUAAGUUAGUGGUGAAAUCCCGAGGCUCAACUUCGGAAUUGCAGUUGAUACUGUCCGGCUUGAGUGUAGUUGAGGUAGGCGGAAUGUAGGGUGUAGCGGUGAAAUGCUUAGAGAUCAUAAAGAACACCGAUUGCGAAGGCAGCUUACCAAGCUGCUACUGACGUUGAGGCUCGAAAGCGUGGGGAGCAAACAGGAUUAGAUACCCUAGUAGUC